RNAcentral lists this ribosomal RNA (38 nucleotides) under Ponthieva racemosa. Its description in RNAcentral is "partial 26S ribosomal RNA". Lineage: Eukaryota; Viridiplantae; Streptophyta; Magnoliopsida; Asparagales; Orchidaceae. RNAcentral also lists the same sequence under 5 other names. The record is from RNAcentral.
CGACCCCAGGAUGGGUGGGAUGACCCGCCGAGUUUAAG